GGGGAUGUAGUUCAAUGGAAAAGUGCUUACCUAGCAUGUGAGGGACCCUGGGUUCUAUUCUCAGCACUGCCA
RNAcentral lists this transfer RNA (72 nucleotides) under Urocitellus parryii (Arctic ground squirrel). RNAcentral's name for it is "Spermophilus parryii (Arctic ground squirrel) tRNA". It matches the Rfam family "tRNA". From Rfam's summary of the family: Transfer RNA (tRNA) molecules are approximately 80 nucleotides in length. Their secondary structure includes four short double-helical elements and three loops (D, anti-codon, and T loops). Lineage: Eukaryota; Metazoa; Chordata; Mammalia; Rodentia; Sciuridae. RNAcentral also lists the same sequence under 1 other name. The record is from Rfam by way of RNAcentral.